GGAAAUUCCCCGGGCGUAACGGCAGAAAGUGUCUAAUCGAAUACCAGAGACUGUGCCGCUCGUUAUCGCGAAGACAUGAGCAUGUAGAGUGGGCCUUUCUCUGCCGUCAUAUCAAAGUUAUGCCAUUAACUACCCAACGGGGAUUAU
This 147-nucleotide non-coding RNA is filed under the name Licmophora paradoxa. Lineage: Eukaryota; Bacillariophyta; Fragilariophyceae; Licmophorales; Licmophoraceae. The record is from RNAcentral.